Molecule: ribosomal RNA, 450 nt
Filed under: uncultured bacterium
Lineage: Bacteria
Description: partial 16S ribosomal RNA
Rfam family: Bacterial small subunit ribosomal RNA
Source: RNAcentral
GUGGGGAAUAUUGGACAAUGGGCGAAAGCCUGAUCCAGCCAUGCCGCGUGUGUGAAGAAGGUCUUCGGAUUGUAAAGCACUUUAAGUUGGGAGGAAGGGCAGUAAGUUAAUACCUUGCUGUUUUGACGUUACCGACAGAAUAAGCACCGGCUAACUUCGUGCCAGCAGCCGCGGUAAUACGAAGGGUGCAAGCGUUAAUCGGAAUUACUGGGCGUAAAGCGCGCGUAGGUGGUUUUGUAAGUUGGAGGUGAAAUCCCCGGGCUCAACCUGGGAACUGCCUCCAAAACUGCAUGACUAUAGUACGGUAGAGGGUAGUGGAAUUUCCUGUGUAGCGGUGAAAUGCGUAGAUAUAGGAAGGAACACCAGUGGCGAAGGCGACUACCUGGACUGAUACUGACACUGAGGUGCGAAAGCGUGGGGAGCAAACAGGAUUAGAAACCCGGGUAGUCC